RNAcentral lists this ribosomal RNA (774 nucleotides) under Triticum aestivum (bread wheat). RNAcentral describes it as "partial small subunit ribosomal RNA". Lineage: Eukaryota; Viridiplantae; Streptophyta; Magnoliopsida; Poales; Poaceae. The record is from RNAcentral.
AUGAAGAGAAAAAAACGAAAAAUAGAAUACCCGCUUCUCCUGCCUUCAGCCACUGUGCGUCUGUGCCCCACCUGGAUCCCUCCACCGCCGUCACACGGACACGCCUGCACCACCCAUCCGAAUCCCGCAUCUCUUCCUUCUCUUUCAGCGUGCCACCGCCCGACGUCGUCACUGCGCAAGAAGCAUCUCGCCGUCCUGUUGCUUUCUGCGACUGCGCGAGCGAUGGCCGUCGCCCAGGCCGCAGCGGUCGUCACGCCGGUGGUGGCCGGGGCGGCGCCAUCCAUCUCUCCGCGGCCGUCGUCCCGGGGACCGGCCGGAGCCGGAGGCGGGCUGGGGUGGCGCCGCCGGCCGAGGGGGAGCGCCCGCCGCGGCCUGGUCAUCGCGGACGCGUUCGGCGGACAGUACGAAGACGGGUUCGGGGACGUGGAAUUGGAAAUCAUGAAUUACUUCACUUACAAGGCCACACAGACGGUUCUCUAUCAGUUGUAUGAGAUGAAUCCGCCGGCAUACACUUGGCUUUAUAAUUAUCUUGUCGUCAAUGACGCAAAAGAGGGUAUACAUUUCCUGCGAGCACUCUCGAAGGAGAGGCAAGACCUGGCAGAGAGGGUGAUGGUCACGCGCCUUCACUUAUACGGCAGAUGGAUCAAGAAAUGCGACCAUACGAAAAUGUAUGAGAGGAUUUCGCAUGAGAACUUGGAGCUCAUGCGUGAGAGGCUAAUGGAAACAGUGGUGUGGCCAACUGAUGACACGAACUCCAGCGACAAGCAAGAUUGA